GAUGAACGCUGGUGGCGUGCCUAAUACAUGCAAGUCGAGCGAACAGACGAGGAGCUUGCUCCUCUGACGUUAGCGGCGGACGGGUGAGUAACACGUGGAUAACCUACCUAUAAGACUGGGAUAACUUCGGGAAACCGGAGCUAAUACCGGAUAAUAUAUUGAACCGCAUGGUUCAAUAGUGAAAGACGGUUUUGCUGUCACUUAUAGAUGGAUCCGCGCCGCAUUAGCUAGUUGGUAAGGUAACGGCUUACCAAGGCAACGAUGCGUAGCCGACCUGAGAGGGUGAUCGGCCACACUGGAACUGAGACACGGUCCAGACUCCUACGGGAGGCAGCAGUAGGGAAUCUUCCGCAAUGGGCGAAAGCCUGACGGAGCAACGCCGCGUGAGUGAUGAAGGUCUUCGGAUCGUAAAACUCUGUUAUUAGGGAAGAACAAAUGUGUAAGUAACUAUGCACGCCUUGACGGUACCUAAUCAGAAAGCCACGGCUAACUACGUG
RNAcentral lists this ribosomal RNA (497 nucleotides) under uncultured bacterium. RNAcentral describes it as "partial 16S ribosomal RNA". It matches the Rfam family "Bacterial small subunit ribosomal RNA", at positions 28 to 507 of the family's 1533-position model. The record is from RNAcentral.